CGGGACGGGUGAGUAAUGUCUGGGAAACUGCCCGAUGGAGGGGGGUAACUACUGGAAACGGUAGCUAAUACCGCAUAAUGUCGCAAGACCAAGGAGGGGGACCUUCGGGCCUCUUGCCAUCGGAUGUGCCCAGAUGGGAUUAGCUUGUUGGUGAGGUAACGGCUCACCAAGGCGACGAUCCCUAGCUGGUCUGAGAGGAUGACCAGCCACACUGGAACUGAGACACGGUCCAG
Molecule: ribosomal RNA, 233 nt
Filed under: uncultured bacterium
Lineage: Bacteria
Description: partial 16S ribosomal RNA
Rfam family: Bacterial small subunit ribosomal RNA
Source: RNAcentral